GAAGUUAUCCUGCAGUCGAGAUUCCUACGGGAGGCAGCAGCUAAGAAUCUUCCGCAAUGGGCGAAAGCCUGACGGAGCGACGCCGCGUGGACGAAGAAGGCCGGAAGGUUGUAAAGUCCUUUUCCUGGGGGAGAAUAAUGCGGGGAGGGAAUGCCCUGCAGAUGACGUGAACCAGGGAAUAAGCCCCGGCUAAUUACGUGCCAGCAGCCGCGGUAACACGUAAGGGGCGAGCGUUGUUCGGAUUUAUUGGGCGUAAAGGGCGUGUAGGCGGUAGUGCAAGUCUGGUGUGAAAGGCCCCGGCUCAACCGGGGAAGCGCGCUGGAAACUGUGCUGCUAGAGUUUAGGAGGGGAAGCUGGAAUUCCUGGUGUAGGGGUGAAAUCUGUAGAGAUCAGGAAGAACACCGGAGGCGAAGGCGAGCUUCUGGCCAUAGACUGACGCUGAGGCGCGAAAGCGUGGGGAGCAAACAGGAUUAGAUACCCUGGUAGUCCACGCUGUAAACGAUGUGCACUAGGUGUUGGGGGUAUGAACUCUCGGUGCCGGAGCUAACGCGUUAAGUGCACCGCCUGGGGAGUACGCCGGCAACGGUAAAACUCAAAGGAAUUGACGG
This 608-nucleotide ribosomal RNA is filed under the name uncultured Spirochaeta sp. RNAcentral's name for it is "bacterial SSU rRNA". It matches the Rfam family "Bacterial small subunit ribosomal RNA", at positions 316 to 916 of the family's 1533-position model. Lineage: Bacteria; Pseudomonadati; Spirochaetota; Spirochaetia; Spirochaetales; Spirochaetaceae. The record is from RNAcentral.